Molecule: long non-coding RNA, 431 nt
Organism: Aphis gossypii (cotton aphid)
Lineage: Eukaryota; Metazoa; Arthropoda; Insecta; Hemiptera; Aphididae
Exons: 2
Source: RefSeq, a predicted model, not a curated record
GUGUGCUGCCACGUGGUCGUGUGUUGGUGAGUUGGCCAGUUGAUAUUCGGCGCAUUCACACAGAACAUGUUUGGCUUCGGACGUCAAACGGUACACCGGUUUUCCUCCGUUGCCACCUACACGAUAGACACAGAUGAUAAUUUUUCUCAUGGAAUGCUACAAGAACUGAUGAUCAGAGCCGAUCUCAAUUUUCUUCUCAUAAUCUAUGUGAACUUUGAGCACCAGGCUCGGAAAUUGCCACUCAACUCAUAAACUUUAUUAGUUUAUUGUUAUUGUAUGGUAAUAUUUAAAUCUAUAACUAUGUAUAUAAUCCGUACUAAUUUUAAAACAUUUUCCUUAAUUUGAAUUUUAUUUAAACGACGUAAUUUUUACUUUAAAUCGGCUGUAAGUAAUACUAUAAAUGCUUAUGAAUUAAAAUUGUUUCAUACCUA